Long non-coding RNA from Apis dorsata (giant honeybee), 261 nucleotides. RefSeq lists it as uncharacterized. The record is from RefSeq and is a predicted model, not a curated record. The transcript is spliced from 2 exons. Lineage: Eukaryota; Metazoa; Arthropoda; Insecta; Hymenoptera; Apidae.
AUUUAUAUUUAAAUUAAUUAUAUUAUUGUAUUAAAUAUGUUGUAUUUAUUUUUUUUAUAUAUUUAUCAUAAAAGAAUUAAUUAAUUAAUUUUUUUCAUUAUUUCGUCCAAGCAAAUUCUAUGAUAAGAUUACGUGGUGGCAGAGAUCAUAUUUGGAUGCCUUUACAUAUGGAUUCAAGUACAACGAAUGUAGCUUCUUUCAAUGGAAAAUUUCCAAAAAAAGUGUUUUAUCCACUAAAAGAUGUUCUUUUUCAAGAGAAGG